RNAcentral lists this transfer RNA (85 nucleotides) under Chloroflexi bacterium HGW-Chloroflexi-8. Its description in RNAcentral is "tRNA-Leu". It matches the Rfam family "tRNA". Rfam says of the family: Transfer RNA (tRNA) molecules are approximately 80 nucleotides in length. Their secondary structure includes four short double-helical elements and three loops (D, anti-codon, and T loops). Further hydrogen bonds mediate the characteristic L-shaped molecular structure. tRNAs have two regions of fundamental functional importance: the anti-codon, which is responsible for specific mRNA codon recognition, and the 3' end, to which the tRNAs corresponding amino acid is attached (by aminoacyl-tRNA synthetases). tRNAs cope with the degeneracy of the genetic code in two manners: having more than one tRNA (with a specific anti-codon) for a particular amino acid; and 'wobble' base-pairing, i.e. permitting non-standard base-pairing at the 3rd anti-codon position. The record is from RNAcentral. Lineage: Bacteria; Bacillati; Chloroflexota.
GGGGAAGUGCUGGAAUUGGCAGACAGGCAUGACUUAGGAUCAUGUGCCGAAAGGCGUAGGGGUUCAAGUCCCCUCUUCCCUACAA